This 75-nucleotide transfer RNA is filed under the name Sphaerodactylus townsendi. Its description in RNAcentral is "tRNA-Ala". It matches the Rfam family "tRNA". From Rfam's summary of the family: Transfer RNA (tRNA) molecules are approximately 80 nucleotides in length. Their secondary structure includes four short double-helical elements and three loops (D, anti-codon, and T loops). Lineage: Eukaryota; Metazoa; Chordata; Lepidosauria; Squamata; Sphaerodactylidae. The record is from RNAcentral.
GGAAGGACUGUGGCUCAGUAGAAGAGCCUCUGCUUUGCGUGCAGAAGGCUCCAGGUUCAAUCCCUGGCAUCUCCA